AACGAACGCUGGCGGCAGGCCUAACACAUGCAAGUCGAGCGCCCCGCCAGGGGAUCGGCGGACGGGUGAGUAACGCGUGGGCUUAUUCCCUUUUCUACGGAAUAGUCUCGGGAAACUGGUGGUACUACCGUAUUCGCCCUUUUGGGGAAAGAUUUAUCGGCGAAGGAUUAGCCCGCUUUGGAUUAGGUAGUUGGUGGGGUAAUUGCCUACCCAUCCGACGAUCCAUAGCUGGUUUGAGUGGAUGAACAGCCACACUGGGACUGAGACACGGCCCAGACUCCGACGGGAGGGAGCAGUGGGGAAUAUAAGACAAGGGGGGCAAGCCUGAUCUAGCCAUGCCGCGUAAGUGAUGAAGGCCUUAGGGUUGUAAAGCUCUUUCAGAUGGGAAGAUAAUGACGGUACCAGAAGAAGAAGCCCCGGCUAACUCCGUG
RNAcentral lists this ribosomal RNA (431 nucleotides) under uncultured bacterium. RNAcentral's name for it is "partial 16S ribosomal RNA". It matches the Rfam family "Bacterial small subunit ribosomal RNA", at positions 29 to 507 of the family's 1533-position model. The record is from RNAcentral.